AACGAACGCUGGCGGCAGGCCUAACACAUGCAAGUCGAGCGAGGACUUCGGUCCUAGCGGCGGACGGGUAAGUAACGCGUGGGAACGUGCCCUUUGCUUCGGAAUAGCCCUGGGAAACUGGGAGUAAUACCGGAUGAGCCCUUUGGGGGAAAGAUUUAUCGGCGAAGGAUCGGCCCGCGUUGGAUUAGGUAGUUGGUGGGGUAAUGGCCUACCAAGCCGACGAUCCAUAGCUGGUUUGAGAGGAUGAUCAGCCACACUGGGACUGAGACACGGCCCAGACUCCUACGGGAGGCAGCAGUGGGGAAUCUUAGACAAUGGGGGAAACCCUGAUCUAGCCAUGCCGCGUGAGCGAUGAAGGCCUUAGGGUUGUAAAGCUCUUUCAGCUGGGAAGAUAAUGACGGUACCAGCAGAAGAAGCCCCGGCUAACUCCGUG
RNAcentral lists this ribosomal RNA (433 nucleotides) under uncultured bacterium. Its description in RNAcentral is "partial 16S ribosomal RNA". It matches the Rfam family "Bacterial small subunit ribosomal RNA", at positions 29 to 507 of the family's 1533-position model. The record is from RNAcentral.